AGAACGAACGCUGGCGGCAUGCCUAAUACAUGCAAGUCGAACGAACACUUCGGUGUUAGUGGCGCACGGGUGCGUAACGCGUGGGAAUCUGCCCUUGGGUUCGGAAUAACAGUUGGAAACGACUGCUAAUACCGGAUGAUGACGAAAGUCCAAAGAUUUAUCGCCCAGGGAUGAGCCCGCGUAGGAUUAGCUAGUUGGUGAGGUAAAGGCUCACCAAGGCGACGAUCCUUAGCUGGUCUGAGAGGAUGAUCAGCCACACUGGGACUGAGACACGGCCCAGACUCCUACGGGAGGCAGCAGUAGGGAAUAUUGGACAAGUGGGCGCAAGCCUGAUCCAGCAAUGCCGCGUGAGUGAAAAAUGAAGGCCGUUAGGGUUAGUAAAGUCUUCUUUUACCGAG
This 398-nucleotide ribosomal RNA is filed under the name uncultured soil bacterium. Its description in RNAcentral is "bacterial SSU rRNA". It matches the Rfam family "Bacterial small subunit ribosomal RNA", at positions 26 to 446 of the family's 1533-position model. The record is from RNAcentral.